GCAUUUUGUAGUGCAGAACCUUAUAGAUACUUUAUAAGUACUAUGCUAUAUGUGUGUGUGUGUGUGUGUGCGCGUGUGCGUGAGCAUGCAUGUAUAAAAAACAGGUCCUUUAUACUUUACUAAACUUACAUACUUUCUAUAUAAAGUAUGGUACUUUAUAAGUUUCAAAGAAAGCCCUUCCGCUUCUGGUGUCUGGCCUUGGGUUUCCUUUGGCUCCCAUGAAGGGCCCCUGUUGUUGUAAGAUUACUAUUAUUAUUACUAUAACUAUUAGCUGUUUUUUUUUCCAUCCAAAGUGUCUAAAAUAAUGCGAUGGCUGUGCUGCAGCCCUCCAGAGUGAGCAUUUUACAGCACGAAUCAGAAUGGACGCGUUGUUGACCUGUAUGUGGGAGUUUGGGAGAUCUGGGGACGGCUCUGGAAGACCAGCUAAGGUGAUGGGAGCCAAACUUGCCUCCUGGAGUGCGUCCUUCGGCAACCCAGUUGCAAAGCCCCUCUGGAAGUGAGCUCUCCAGCUAACCCUUUUCAGUGGGAGCAUUUCUUCCUCAUAAAGUGACUCAGAAUAACAUUAAGACUUAUAUAAACAAAGUGGACUCUGUUUGUCCCUCUCCAAAACUGCACCUUGUUAAUAGUCCACUGUGAAAUGAGGAAGAUGAAGGAAGCUGGACAGCCCUCGGAGAAACAUCUGCAAUUAGAAGAUACCCUGAUUCCCUCAUACAAAUGAUGUUGUAUGAGAUACUUUGAAAUGUGCAUGACAACCACUAGCUUGGCAAUGAAUAUUUCUCUUAACUGAGCAGAAUGCUUCUCCUAAAAGAUUUAUCUUUGUUACUGCUAGUCACCAAACAAAAGUGACCAAACAAGACAGCUUUAGGCGGAUGAUGAGCAAAAACCAUUAUGCUUUGAGGCUGGGGACUCUACUGGUGACUGUCACACUGCCCAUCCCAUGGGAGACAGGCAUGUAUGACAACCUGAAAAUCCUCAGGUAGCAGCCGAGAUCAGGCUGGAUGGCCCACUGGAAACCGUUCCCUGUGCCAUGCUGGUGUGACAGCCACUGUUCUGCGGUUUUGGAAAGAAAAAAAAAAGAGAGUUUUUGUAUUGAACAUAAGCCUGCCAGUCAGCUUACGUAAUGAUUAGACCAAAUCCAAGAAACAGGAAUAGACGUAUAAAAUAUUCAUUAUUUGUUCCUUGUCAUCUAGUAGUCCUUUCUGUUUAGAUUAGUUUAGCUUUCAGGACAGUCAAACUGACUACCACUAUGUGAUCUACUUAAAAUAUACUGGUCCAAAACUUAAGGUGGUAUAAGUUCAUAUAACUCUGCUGCUUUCAGUAGAGCAGUGGUAAUUUUUAUCAGCUGAGUUUCUAGCCUAUUAUUAAAAUUUGCUUCUAACAUACCCCCCCAAAAAAGUAGAAAUGUUAUAAUCUCUGUAUUCUAA
This 1424-nucleotide long non-coding RNA is filed under the name Apteryx owenii (little spotted kiwi). Its description in RNAcentral is "lncRNA (ENSAOWG00000014899.1)". Lineage: Eukaryota; Metazoa; Chordata; Aves; Apterygiformes; Apterygidae. The record is from RNAcentral.